Molecule: ribosomal RNA, 503 nt
Filed under: uncultured bacterium
Lineage: Bacteria
Description: bacterial SSU rRNA
Rfam family: Bacterial small subunit ribosomal RNA
Source: RNAcentral
AGAGUUUGAUUAUGGCUCAGGAUGAACGCUGGCGGCGUGCCUAACACAUGCAAGUCGAACGAAGCAUUUACACGGAUUUCCUUCGGGGAUGAAGGGUUUAUGACUGAGUGGCGGACGGGUGAGUAACGCGUGGGCAACCUGCCCCGUACCGGGGGACAACAGCCGGAAACGGCUGCUAAUACCGUAUACGUUUUAAGGACCGCAUGGUCCGUAAAACAAAACUCCGGUGGUACGGGAUGGGCCCGCGUCUGAUUAGCUCGUUGGCGGGGUAACGGCCCACCAAGGCGACGAUCAGUAGCCGGCCUGAGAGGGCGGCCGGCCACAUUGGGACUGAGACACGGCCCAGACUCCUGCGGGAGGCAGCAGUGGGGAAUAUUGCACAAUGGGGGAAACCCUGAUGCAGCGACGCCGCGUGAGCGAGGAAGUACCUCGGUAUGUAAAGCUCUGUCAGCAGGGAAGAAAAUGACAGUACCUGACCAAGAAGCCCCGGCUAACUACUUGCC